This 2811-nucleotide long non-coding RNA is filed under the name Mus musculus (house mouse). RNAcentral's name for it is "long non-coding RNA chr14:121251159-121253970". Lineage: Eukaryota; Metazoa; Chordata; Mammalia; Rodentia; Muridae. The record is from RNAcentral.
AUGCUGGUUCUGAGGAACGCAUGUAACUUGCCCCCAGCCACCUAAGGUAUCAGGAAGAGGACACCAUCUCUAACACUGGUAAACUGUGACCUCACUCUUCCAUGUGGGAACCUUGCCAUUCCAGCCAGCUGUUGUCAUAGAGUCCGAUGGCCAGGGACCCACCUCUGAUUCAGUGUGGUGGGGAUUUUCUUGGGUGGUGAAUGCUCAGAAUAGAUGAUCUCAUUCGAAAUUUCAUUGUCUUCUUUCUUAGUGGGAAGUCGUGAGUUUAAAAAGAGCCCUGUGUUUCUUCUGUCUUUCCUAUGUAUGCCUCUAGAACUAACACAUUCUGAGUAUGUAGGUAAAAAAAAAAAAAAAAUCUAUAUUUUAGAACCAGGUAACAAAAGAUAGGAUUGUAGCAUCUAAAAACUUGCAAAAGACGUAAGUUUAUUCGGAGAAUAGUAAAGAAGUUUUGAAAGUAGGAGUUAAUCAGCGCCAUCAAUGUUCUCAUUUUAAUAAUUUAUCAAAUAACAAGUUUCUUUUUUUUUUUUAAUUGUCAGGUUUUCUGCUUCUCUUUUUACAGGAAAGAACCCACACGAAAUACCUAUCAAGUUAAAAAUUAGACACUAAUCAACUUACUGACUACUUUACAAAACAGGACAGGUUCAGAAGUAUGUGAAAUGCCAUUUUAAUUAUCUGAGAAAUAGAUUGGAUUUUUUUCUCACUCUCUCUUCCCAGAACUGGGUGAGUCUGUUUACACAGCUUUGGCCUACGCUGAAGAAGCAGAUCAUUAGCAGGGAGCUUGUGCCAGCCCUCAGAGGGGAUGAGAGGCAGGAAGCUGUGCCCGCUCCCUCUCAGGCCGUUUUGUCUCCUCUGAUGAAGAGCCUGUCCUGAGCCUCUGAGCUCAGCCUCCUAUGGGCCAGGAGAGAAUUAUGAAUGUAUUCUAAAUGAAAAUGAUAAAGCUGUAGAGGCAGGCUCUGGGAUAGGUGAUAGAUUGAAAUCCAUAAAAACAGCAGGGCCAAUUUGAAAUCCCAUAAUUAUUUGUGGAAUGACAAAGUGUCCAUUUAAGAAGAUUUGAAAAGGCCUUUGCCAGAAGUGUGUGCCCUUAGAGCAUUGUUGGUGGGGGAUUGCUGGCCCACCUCUUCAUGCAGAUUAGUGGGAGAGGAAGACAUUGCCGAGGAGCUACUAACCUGAGUGCCUGAGAAAAACUUUUAGAAGUAGGGAUUGGAAAUCUCCAGAGGUUUAGUGAGCAGUUGAUCUCUUCCCUAACACCUUGGAAUUCCUUCCCGCCUCUUGCCUUACUACCCGGGUGCUUCCUCGGAGGGUCGUACAGAAUUGUCUACCUGUAGCUCCCUCCCUCAUGAAGAAAUUUGCCUAUUCUCACUUGCAGUCAGGGAAGACAGGUUUAAAAAACAAAAGCCCACUCGUCAAUCAUUCCACAGCAUAAGGACAAAGGUGCCUGAUGGGUUCCUCUUCUCUGUUCCCACCACCUGUGGCUGUGCCUUCAAAACGGUUGUCAGACUUAGUGACCUUCAGUCCUGUGUAGUCACACUAACUCUACAUAACCUUGAACCCCGCUUGCUUUAGACAUGCCCUUCACACUCACCAGUCUGGACACAGAGCUGCCAGAUUCUCCCUAACUGUUCUUGCCAGCGUGUCUCAUUGAUUGCUGAGUGGGAAGCUGGGACAUCUCCCUUUGGGUCUGCGUCACCCGUAAGGUUUCAAGUCCUCGGGACAGGGCCUUGUCUCCAUAGGCCCAGCUUCAGAAACUCCGACGUCUCCUUCCUUAGCCUUGCUGACGGAUUCUUGGUCAAAGUGUUGGUUGGUGUUUGUCCAUGUCUUGGUCUGACAGUUUACCCACCCAGCCCUCUUCCUUUCAUGAGCAGACCCAAGAACCUCUUCGGAAAAGGAAAUUAACCACCCCAACUUGGUUCCCCACCCCCACCCCCUGUGAGGCAAUCAGACAUGGUCAGACCACAUGUGCCAAACCCUGCGAGCAGACCUGAGCUGUCACCAGCCUUUUCUAUCCCUUGGGCGACCAGGGCAGCCUUCUACCACCUCUCUGAGGUAGUCCAGUGAGAAUUCUUUUAAACCUAACCAACUCUAUUCUUUAAAAGGUUGUCAGGGCAUCACCUCUCAAGACCCAAUCUAUUGCUUAUGCUUCCAGCCUGACUGACGGGUCAGCUUUCUGCAAGCCUUGCCAGGGUAGGAGGGCAGGGACGGGACAGUUCAGCAAGAACCCUAGCUUUCACUUGUGGAGGGUGGUGUGUCUGUCUCUGAAUGUGUGAACCUUACUCUCUCCUUCAGUGGCAGGCAGCUUGCUCUCUGUCGCUGGAAGCUGUUCACAGCCUGCUGGUAACCCAUCUCCUCGCAGCCUGCCCCACUUGAAGCUAGCUUUCUAACAACUUUUUAUCCUUGGCUCCAACUCUCUCAGAGAGGUGAAUGCUUUUUCUGUGCCACACCACCGCAGCCCCAAGGCCCAGCAUGCUGUCACUUAUAACCUGCCCACCCGAUCUCGUGAGAGCUGACGGUAAGCCCCACAUUUAGCUAGAUGACUGGUGGGUAAACUCUGAAGCGACUCUCAACUCAGCCACUCACGAAUGCAUGGAAUGUUUUGAUCUUGACACGAAACUGCCAGAAUUUUCUCUUUUCUAACUUCUAUUUGUAGUGGUAACAUUUUUCUGUGAUUUUUUUUUUUUUAAAAAGAGAAUAGUGUAGUAUCUUGAAACAAUGCAAUUCCAGUGUGUCACUAUUUCUAUUUAACAACUUUCAUUCUUUCCUAAUCAUUGUAUCCAGUUGUGCACUAGUGUCAAUAAAAUUGACAUUUGUGAAGCG